GAGUUUGAUCUUGGCUCAGAUUGAACGCUGGCGGCAGGCCUAACACAUGCAAGUCGAGCGGAUGACGGGAGCUUGCUCCUUGAUUCAGCGGCGGACGGGUGAGUAAUGCCUAGGAAUCUGCCUGGUAGUGGGGGACAACGUUUCGAAAGGAACGCUAAUACCGCAUACGUCCUACGGGAGAAAGCAGGGGACCUUCGGGCCUUGCGCUAUCAGAUGAGCCUAGGUCGGAUUAGCUAGUUGGUGGGGUAAUGGCUCACCAAGGCGACGAUCCGUAACUGGUCUGAGAGGAUGAUCAGUCACACUGGAACUGAGACACGGUCCAGACUCCUACGGGAGGCAGCAGUGGGGAAUAUUGGACAAUGGGCGAAAGCCUGAUCCAGCCAUGCCGCGUGUGUGAAGAAGGUCUUCGGAUUGUAAAGCACUUUAAGUUGGGAGGAAGGGCAGUAAGUUAAUACUUGCUGUUUGACGUUACGACAGAAUAAGCACCGGCUAACUCUGUGCCAGCCGCCG
RNAcentral lists this ribosomal RNA (510 nucleotides) under bacterium enrichment culture clone ALO1_GLFRUDD03HB4ZK. Its description in RNAcentral is "bacterial SSU rRNA". It matches the Rfam family "Bacterial small subunit ribosomal RNA", at positions 9 to 517 of the family's 1533-position model. The record is from RNAcentral.